RNAcentral lists this ribosomal RNA (724 nucleotides) under uncultured Fusobacterium sp. Its description in RNAcentral is "bacterial SSU rRNA". It matches the Rfam family "Bacterial small subunit ribosomal RNA", at positions 28 to 776 of the family's 1533-position model. Lineage: Bacteria; Fusobacteriati; Fusobacteriota; Fusobacteriia; Fusobacteriales; Fusobacteriaceae. The record is from RNAcentral.
GAUGAACGCUGACAGAAUGCUUAACACAUGCAAGUCGACUCGAGUCUUCGGACUUGGGUGGCGCACGGGUGAGUAACGCGUAAAGAACUUGCCUCUUAGACCGGGACAACAUCUGGAAACGGAUGCUAAUACCGGAUAUUAUGGUUUUUUCGCAUGGAGGAAUCAUGAAAGCUGGAUGCGCUAAGAGAGAGCUUUGCGUCCCAUUAGCUAGUUGGUGAGGUAACGGCCCACCAAGGCAAUGAUGGGUAGCCGGCCUGAGAGGGUGAACGGCCACAAGGGGACUGAGACACGGCCCUUACUCCUACGGGAGGCAGCAGUGGGGAAUAUUGGACAAUGGACCGCAAGUCUGAUCCAGCAAUUCUGUGUGCACGAUGACGUUUUUCGGAAUGUAAAGUGCUUUCAGUCGGGAAGAAGUCAGUGACGGUACCGACAGAAGAAGCGACGGCUAAAUACGUGCCAGCAGCCGCGGUAAUACGUAUGUCGCAAGCGUUAUCCGGAUUUAUUGGGCGUAAAGCGCGUCUAGGCGGCAAGGAAAGUCUGAUGUGAAAAUGCGGAGCUCAACUCCGUAUGGCGUUGGAAACUGCCUUACUAGAGUACUGGAGAGGUAGGCGGAACUACAAGUGUAGAGGUGAAAUUCGUAGAUAUUUGUAGGAAUGCCGAUGGGGAAGCCAGCCUACUGGACAGAUACUGACGCUUAAGCGCGAAAGCGUGGGUAGCAAACAUG